CUAAGCACCGUGCACUGGGUAGAAACCAGCAGGUCAGUGGGUACAGAGACCAGCCCCAGCCCCCCACCGUGCUCAGUCCUCGGACCAGGAAGAAUAGUGGGUGCCUGGAAGAACAUGAGCCCCACAGGAGGCUGUGCUGUGGCAGGGAUGACCUGAUUAGAGGGCGCUGGGAAAGAGCGCUCCACCACCCACAGAGAAGGACCUGGCUGCUCAGGACCUAGCCAUCAACCACAGGGAAAAUCGACACUAGCUUAAAAACCAACUCCUGUUUCUGCAGUGGACUCAGAUGGCUGGCGUGGGUUUGUGCUCAGAGCUAAUGUCCCGGGUUGGAUUUAGUCCGCGAGUUCUUCCCACGGAAACCAGGUUCUCUUGGGCUACAGUUGCGCUGAUCCACAGCAGCCAUGGCCACCUGUGCUCCACAGGGGCAGUCACCCGUCCGGUUAGCAGGUCCAGGGAAAGGAGACGUCCGGAAUCCAAUGGGACCUCCCUGAUCCGAUCCAGUCCUUCGCAUUUAACAUAAUCCAUCAGCGGAGUUGCUGUCCAUCUAAGCGGAAGUUCCACAGAGUCUGUUGGCUGCAGAAACAUCUUUGGUGUCAGAGUCCGGUCGUCCAGAUACCACGAAUGGCCACGUCUGAAAAAUCGAAAUGAGUGUCAGAUACGGAGGAGAAACAAUCUCAAAACGAAACCGCUCUCCCCAGAGAUUCCUGACUUUUAUUAGCGUUCUAGGAAUUUGUGUGUCUUGUCCUUCUAUUAAGAAUCUUAAUCUUGUUGGCUACUGA
Molecule: long non-coding RNA, 779 nt
Organism: Peromyscus eremicus (cactus mouse)
Lineage: Eukaryota; Metazoa; Chordata; Mammalia; Rodentia; Cricetidae
Exons: 2
Source: RefSeq, a predicted model, not a curated record